Molecule: unclassified non-coding RNA, 464 nt
Filed under: uncultured Russula
Lineage: Eukaryota; Fungi; Basidiomycota; Agaricomycetes; Russulales; Russulaceae
Description: sequence contains ITS2
Rfam family: 5.8S ribosomal RNA (bases 1-154)
Source: RNAcentral
AACUUUCGGCAAUGGAUCUCUUGGCUCUCGCAUCGAUGAAGAACGCAGCGAAAUGCGCUACGUAAUGUGAAUUGCAGAAUUCAGUGAAUCAUCGAAUCUUUGAACGCACCUUGCGCCCCUUGGCAUUCCGAGGGGCACACCCGUUUGAGGGUCGUGAAAUUCUCAAAAAGCUUUCUUUGGAAGGGAUUUUGGACUUGGAAGCCUUUUUCUGGUUUCACCUCGAAGCGAACUCCUCCCAAAUGGAUUAGUGGGGUCUGCUUGGCCGAUCCUUGACGUGAUAAGAUGUUUCUACGUCUUGGGUUUGGCACUGUCACUCGGGCACCCGCUUCUAACCGUCUUGUCGACAACGAUGGCGUUCCGGUCACCACCGUUUCAUCGGUGGGAGGCUUGACCCACCAAAAAACCUUGACCUCAAAUCGGGUGAGACUACCCGCUGCACUUAAGCAAAUCAAUAAGAGGAGGCU